RNAcentral lists this ribosomal RNA (450 nucleotides) under uncultured bacterium. RNAcentral's name for it is "partial 16S ribosomal RNA". It matches the Rfam family "Bacterial small subunit ribosomal RNA", at positions 354 to 796 of the family's 1533-position model. The record is from RNAcentral.
GUGGGGAAUUUUGGACAAUGGGCGCAAGCCUGAUCCAGCAAUGCCGCGUGCAGGAAGAAGGCCUUCGGGUUGUAAACUGCUUUUGUACGGAACGAAACGGUCCUGGUUAAUACCUGGGGCUAAUGACGGUACCGUAAGAAUAAGCACCGGCUAACUACGUGCCAGCAGCCGCGGUAAUACGUAGGGUGCGAGCGUUAAUCGGAAUUACUGGGCGUAAAGCGUCCGCAGGCGGUGCUGUAAGACAGGCGUGAAAUCCCCGGGCUCAACCUGGGAAUUGCGCUUGUGACUGCAGUGCUGGAGUACGGCAGAGGGGGAUGGAAUUCCGCGUGUAGCAGUGAAAUGCGUAGAUAUGCGGAGGAACACCGAUGGCGAAGGCAGUCCCCUGGGCCUGUACUGACGCUCAUGCACGAAAGCGUGGGGAGCAAACAGGAUUAGAAACCCGAGUAGUCC